RNAcentral lists this unclassified non-coding RNA (227 nucleotides) under uncultured fungus. RNAcentral's name for it is "sequence contains ITS1, 5.8S rRNA gene". The stretch from base 179 to 227 matches the Rfam family "5.8S ribosomal RNA", at positions 1 to 49 of the family's 154-position model. Lineage: Eukaryota; Fungi. The record is from RNAcentral.
UCUCCGUAGGUGAACCUGCGGAGGGAUCAUUACUGAGUGAGGGCUCACGCCCGACCUCCAACCCUUUGUGUUUCUGACUGUGUUGCCUCGGGGGCGACCCUGCCGUUUCGACGGCGAGCGCCCCCGAAGGUCUCCAAACACUGCAUCUUUGCGUCGGAGUUUAAAACAAAUUAAACAAAACUUUCAACAACGGAUCUCUUGGUUCUGGCAUCGAUGAAGAACGCAGC